This 435-nucleotide ribosomal RNA is filed under the name uncultured Glomus. RNAcentral describes it as "SSU rRNA". It matches the Rfam family "Eukaryotic small subunit ribosomal RNA", at positions 597 to 1036 of the family's 1831-position model. The record is from RNAcentral. Lineage: Eukaryota; Fungi; Glomeromycota; Glomeromycetes; Glomerales; Glomeraceae.
GCGUAUAUUAAAGUUGUUGCAGUUAAAAAGCUCGUAGUUGAAUUUCGGGGUCAGCAGGUUGGUCGUGCCACUGGUAUGAACUGGUUUCGCUGAUUCCUCCUUUCUGAAGAACUGUAAUGUCAUUAAUUUGGUGUUGCAGGGAAACAGGACUGUUACUUUGAAAAAAUUAGAGUGUUUAAAGCAGGCUAACGCUUGAAUACAUUAGCAUGGAAUAAUGAAAUAGGACGUUCAAACCUAUUUUGUUGGUUUCUAGGAUUGACGUAAUGAUUAAUAGGGAUAGUUGGGGGCAUUAGUAUUCAAUUGUCAGAGGUGAAAUUCUUGGAUUUAUUGAAGGCUAACUACUGCGAAAGCAUUUGCCAAGGAUGUUUUCAUUAAUCAAGAACGAAAGUUAGGGGAUCGAAGACGAUCAGAUACCGUCGUAGUCUUAACCAUAAA